This 303-nucleotide ribosomal RNA is filed under the name uncultured bacterium. Its description in RNAcentral is "partial 16S ribosomal RNA". It matches the Rfam family "Bacterial small subunit ribosomal RNA", at positions 507 to 807 of the family's 1533-position model. The record is from RNAcentral.
AGCAGUAGCCGCGGUAAUACGUAGGGUGCAAGCGUUAAUCGGAAUUACUGGGCGUAAAGCGUGCGCAGGCGGUUCGCUAAGACAGAUGUGAAAUCCCCGGGCUUAACCUGGGAACUGCAUUUGUGACUGGCGGGCUAGAGUAUGGCAGAGGGGGGUAGAAUUCCACGUGUAGCAGUGAAAUGCGUAGAGAUGUGGAGGAAUACCGAUGGCGAAGGCAGCCCCCUGGGCCAAUACUGACGCUCAUGCACGAAAGCGUGGGGAGCAAACAGGAUUAGAUACCCCGGUAGUCCCUGUCUCUUAUAC